UCAGGCCCAGUUUCCAAAGAGGAAGGCUCAGGGACAGAGGGGAGGUCACCUUUCAAGGCCACGUGGCUUAAGAGGCAGCACAGAGAUUCAGACCCAGGAACCCCCAGGAGGUGGGGGCGGAGAACGUCUCAGCACUGAAGGGUCGGCACUGCAGGCCCCAAGGACCCUAGGGCACUCUAAGACAGGUGCCAGGAGGGCUGCCUGCCUGGCAAAGGAUGCGGGGGAAGGGUGUGGGGCAGGCAGUCCUAGGGAGGGGAAGACGGCCCAUCCCGGAGCUGGGUGUGACUGGGGUUCUGCUCCAGGGAGGUGCGAGUUAAAUCGGGGGCUCCCUCCCCCCCACCACUCCACCCACCAUUAACAUCACAAUGACGUCCCUCCGCUGGGGGAGUGAGGCCUUCCCGUUCCCUUGGCAACCGAC
RNAcentral lists this long non-coding RNA (418 nucleotides) under Pan troglodytes (chimpanzee). RNAcentral describes it as "long non-coding RNA NONPTRT008224". The record is from RNAcentral. Lineage: Eukaryota; Metazoa; Chordata; Mammalia; Primates; Hominidae.